AUCUGACAGAAAGAAGCUGAAAUCUGAUAGAAAGAAGAAGCUGAAGUCUGAUAGAAAGAAGAAGCUGAAGUCUGAUAGAAAGAAGAAGCUGAAGUCUGAUAGAAAGAAGAAGCUGAAGUCUGAUAGAAAGAAGAAGCUGAAGUCUGAUAGAAAGAAGAAGCUGAAGUCUGAUAGAAAGAAGAAGCAUUCACACAGGCGCUCCACUCAGCUGGGGCGGAACCAAUCUGCAGCUGCAGGUUUCCUACCUGCGGCAUAAAAAGGGACACACGCAGCACUGAGGAGGAAGGAGAAUGAAUGAGCUCCUCAAAUAAAUAAAGUGGCUGUGAGCGUGAGGAUCUGCGGGAAACUGUGCAGGACUGCUUCAUCUACAGAAAUCCAGGUAGCAGCCGGCGACAAUCACAUGGAAAUAGGCAUUUGGAAUCACCUCCAAUCACUUCAAGAAGCUGGAUCACUUUUCGCCAGGCUCGAUCGCCAUGGUAACCAAUGCUGGAUGGCUAAGAUUAGACCAAAACCUGCCAACAGCCCAACAGGUGACCAUUCAAACCACUGCAGACCCUCAACACGACUGACGACGCUUCAUCUAGCAACGCCUUCAAAUGUUUAAACUGCCAGAGGUGAGUCAGCUGGUUGGUCCAGGAGGAGAGCCAGAGGCGUCACUCUGAUCCAACUCAACAGGAAAGCGACACCAUGCUCAUCAUCUAAACGACAAAAUAUAGAAGCAGGAGUCGCAGGUAAUUUUUCAGUGUAUGCACCACUGAGCAACUUUCAUAUGGAAGAACUGGGCACCAUCUUUAAAUGCAGAGUCAGGUUCACCUUAAUACAGCUCAUAUUAAACGAAUUCACAACCCUGGAAGCUUUCUCCUUUUACUGCUUCUCAGCACUGAAUCACAGACCGUAUAACUGGACUUUUUGACAGGAGUUUGCAAAAAAUAUUUCAUGUCAAAGUGAAAAAAGAUGACAACAGUAUAUUAAUAUAACCACAAUGAUAACAAAAGGAAUAAUCCAAGAAACUCAGAGAAAAGCUUGUUGAAAAGCAUCAGUCAGGACGUUAUGAGAACAUUUCCAAGGUCCUGAAGAUCUUCUGGAGUCCAGUUAAAUCCAUCAUUAUGGAAAGCAAGGAAGAUGGAACAUGAAUAAAUCUGACUGGAGCAGGACGUCCUCAAGAACUGAGAGACUAGAGAGGGAGGCCACCAAGACUCCUAUGACUCCUCUGAAGGAGUUAAAAUUGUGAGUCAUAAAGUCACUGGGUCAUAAAAACUAAUUUCUGAUUUAAAUACAGUAAAGCUGUAUAAUUUUAUGCUCAUAGGUUGUAGAAGAACAAAUCACAUGACUUUGGAUGUGGACAUUAUUUAUAGGUUUGGCCAGUGACAUUUUAUAAAUAAAUGUAGAUGUAAAUUAAUAUUUUUUUUCCAGUGAUUGUACCAGAUAAUAUGUGGAAACUAACAACAAAAAAGGGUAAACCUGUAGAAUAACAGAUCAGUAGCAAACUCUGUGAUGGCCAGUUUCAGCUGCAAAAAUGACAUUCAAGCAUUAAACUAAAGCUUCAAGAGUUUCUGCCAAACAUCAGCAGGUAACCAUGGAAAUGUACCAGGUUUGAUUGGUUGGACGUGGAACAAGUGAUCUGUUCUGUAAUGUGAAAUGAGACGCUGAAGACGAGUCUUCAAAGUCAUCACAGCUUGAUCUCAGAUGUACGGCAGUAAAAGGACGACCAGAGAAUACAACCCAGCAGGGACGCUGUUACACUGUCGGGUACAAGAGGAGGAAAUCAUCGUCAGCCGCUGGCCACUCUAAAGGCCAAGUCAUGCUUUCUGCGUCCACCAAGGUCCAUGAAAAUUAUUAUCUGGCCAAGUUUUAAUGGAACCACAUGGACCCUUCAGCAGAUGCAGCUCAAACAUGUGCAAAACAUGCUAUUAAAGAGUAAGUUAUUGCGUGGGAAGAUGGAAAUUUUGGGUUCUACGUGCUAAAUUCCAGAUAUUUUGACCCCAAAACCAAGCAAAUUGCUCUAAACGAUCAAGACUGCAUGUCAAAAAUGGCGACAAUCUUGAAAAUCCUUUCAAACUUUGUGUGGCUAACGUUAUUUCACUAAAAAUCACCAAUCGCUGAACACAUGGGCCAGUGUUGGUGUUUUAAAGGCCCAAGUUUUUAAGGAACCACAUGGACCCUUUAGCAUAUAAAAUGUGCAUAACAUGCUAUUAAGGUGUAAGUUGUGUUAGAACGUGUAAAUUUGGACUCUACAUGCUAAAUUCCAGAUAUUUUGACCCCAGAACCAAGCAAAUCACUCUACAAGUUCAUGUUUUGUGACAAUAUAUUGGAUUACAUGAUCAACAUUGGUGGCCAUCUGGAAAGCCUUUUUGAAAGUUUGUGUGGCUAAUGCUAUUUCACAAAAAGUAACCCAAUGUUGGACAUGAAUGGUGGAUAAAAGGUCUGUACUGACUGUCAUGGUCUUGACACAAGUGUUCACAAGGAUCCAUGUGAUGUAAAUUCUUUAUCUGCCCAAGUCUUGAAAGGACCACAUGGACCCUUCAACAGAUGCAGCUCAAAAGAAGUGGAAAACAUGCUAUUAAGGUGUAAGUUGAUGUGCUGGAAGAUGGAAAUGUUGGCUUCUACAUGCUAAAUUACAGAUAUUUUGACCAAAUAACCAAGCAAAUUGCUCUACAAGAUCAGGACAGCAUGUCAAAAAUGGUGACCAUCUUGAAGAGCCUUUAAAAAAAUUGUGUGGCUAACGUUAUUUACAAAAAAAAAACUCAUCCAUCGGUGAACACAUGAGCCAGUUUUGGUGCUUUAAAGGCCCAAGCUGUAAAGGAACUACAAAGACCCUUCAGCUGACGCAACUAAAAAAAUUGUGCAAAACACGCUGUUAAAGUGUAAGUCGUUGUGUUAGAACAAGGAAAUGUGAGUUCUAUGUGCUAAUUUCCAAAUCCAAAAAACCAAGCAAAUCACUCUAUCUCUGAAAAUAUAUGGAAUUGCUUAUCAAAAAUGGCAGCCAUUUGAAAACCCCUUUAAAAAUUCUAUCUUCCAACCACCUGUAGCUCAAAUACUGCAGCAGAUAACAGCAAAUAUGAAAGGAAUUGUUAAUUUUAUCAUACAGGCCUUGACGUUGGUCUCUGUGUCCAACAUUGAGGUGAGUUUUCAUAAAAUAACCUUAAAACAUAUGAAUUUUCUUAAAGGUUUCAAGAUGGCCACCAUUUUUGAUCAUGCAACCCAAUAUAUCAUCACGCAGCAUGAACUUGUAGAGUUAUUUGCUUGGUUUUGGUGUCAAAAUAUAAUGAAUUUAGCACAUAGAAUCCAAGUUUGCACAAUAAGUUACACCCUAAUAGCAUGUUUCACAGUUAUUUUUGAAAUAUGGUUUGAUGUUUAGCAAUCUAUUGAUGUAACAGCUACAGGAUGUAGGAGUGUUGUAGUAAAGGUCAGCUACUCAUGGCUCUGGUUCUUACUGCUGACCAAACUGUCAACAUUUGGUGCCAAUGAACAUUUCAUUUAUGACAACAAAUACGAGCUGAAGUCAACACAUUUCUCCUCGCUGAUUGGUUCUCUUAAAAGCAAAAACACUGAAAGUAAAGACUUUAUUUGACUUUAUUUUUUAGUUUCAGUAACUCUGCAUGCUCUAUUUCUGUCAGAUCCAACACAGAAACAGUAGAAAUGUCUCAGAUCUCUGCAGCUGAAGAUGGAAAACUUCACUAUGCCGAUGACACCAUCAUUUUGAUUGGCUAAAGUCCACAUCCGGCUAUGUAUGAACUCACAUCACGGUUCUGACAGUGAUCUUUCCAGGCCACCCUGAAACCAGACACCAGGACAUUACUCUCCACAUGUGAAGGUUAAUUCAGUGAAUUCAUUCAGUCGUGUCACGUUUUCUUACCAGGCUUUGAUGCCUUGGGGAUCUCUGACGAUGCGUUUGGCGCAGUUGAUUGCUAAGCCAACGUUAUCAGUCAGAAGCUCUGCGAACAAACAGUGGAAAUAAAAGACUGUGCAUUUAAACGUUGGACCGCAAAGUACAGUAAAAUUAGAAAAAACAUUUUUUAAAAAGCCUCUCAGAAGCUCCGUAAUUGUAGCUCAGUGUUGUGAACAAACUGCAUUUACAGAAGUGCUUUUAUGUAAAUUGCUGUACCACAUAUUCACAGUUAAAGGUUUUGCUAAACAAGUAGAGAAAACAAGUACUGUUGUUUUUUUUUCUUUUAUCACAAUCUGACGACAUUAUCCAAAA
Long non-coding RNA from Amphiprion ocellaris (clown anemonefish), 4201 nucleotides. RefSeq lists it as uncharacterized. The transcript has 3 exons. NCBI's taxonomy places the organism in Eukaryota, Metazoa, Chordata, Actinopteri, Pomacentridae. The record is from RefSeq and is a predicted model, not a curated record.